RNAcentral lists this ribosomal RNA (1017 nucleotides) under uncultured bacterium. RNAcentral describes it as "bacterial SSU rRNA". It matches the Rfam family "Bacterial small subunit ribosomal RNA", at positions 355 to 1375 of the family's 1533-position model. The record is from RNAcentral.
UGAGGAAUAUUGGUCAAUGGGCGAGAGCCUGAACCAGCCAAGUAGCGUGAAGGAUGACUGCCCUAUGGGUUGUAAACUUCUUUUAUAAAGGAAUAAAGUCGGGUAUGCAUACCCGUUUGCAUGUACUUUAUGAAUAAGGAUCGGCUAACUCCGUGCCAGCAGCCGCGGUAAUACGGAGGAUCCGAGCGUUAUCCGGAUUUAUUGGGUUUAAAGGGAGCGUAGAUGGAUGUUUAAGUCAGUUGUGAAAGUUUGCGGCUCAACCGUAAAAUUGCAGUUGAUACUGGAUAUCUUGAGUGCAGUUAAGGCAGGCGGAAUUCGUGGUGUAGCGGUGAAAUGCUUAGAUAUCACGAAGAACUCCGAUUGCGAAGGCAGCCUGCUAAGCUGCAACUGACAUUGAGGCUCGAAAGUGUGGGUAUCAAACAGGAUUAGAUACCCUGGUAGUCCACACGGUAAACGAUGAAUACUCGCUGUUUGCGAUAUACUGCAAGCGGCCAAGCGAAAGCGUUAAGUAUUCCACCUGGGGAGUACGUCGGCAACGGUGAAACUCAAAGGAAUUGACGGGGGCCCGCACAAGCGGAGGAACAUGUGGUUUAAUUCGAUGAUACGCGAGGAACCUUACCCGGGCUUAAAUUGCAGAUGAAUUACGGUGAAAGCCGUAAGCCGCAAGGCAUCUGUGAAGGUGCUGCAUGGUUGUCGUCAGCUCGUGCCGUGAGGUGUCGGCUUAAGUGCCAUAACGAGCGCAACCCUUGUUGUCAGUUACUAACAGGUUCCGCUGAGGACUCUGACAAGACUGCCAUCGUAAGAUGUGAGGAAGGUGGGGAUGACGUCAAAUCAGCACGGCCCUUACGUCCGGGGCUACACACGUGUUACAAUGGGGGGUACAGAGGGCCGCUACCACGCGAGUGGAUGCCAAUCCCCAAAACCUCUCUCAGUUCGGACUGGAGUCUGCAACCCGACUCCACGAAGCUGGAUUCGCUAGUAAUCGCGCAUCAGCCACGGCGCGGUGAAUACGUUCCC